UACAUGCCUCGAAGCCUCGACCUUUUGGGAAGGGCGCACUUAUUAGAUCAAAAUCAACCGGAUUUCGGUCCGAGAUUUUGGUGACUCUGGAUAAUCUUCUACAGAUCGUACGGCCUUUGUGUCGACGACAGAUCUUUCAAAUGUCUGCCCUAUCAACUUAAGAUGGUAGGUAAUUUGCCUACCAUGGUGAUAACGGGUAACGGGGAAUCAGGGUUCGAUUCCGGAGAGGGAGCCUGAGAAAUAGCUACCACAUCCAAGGAAGGCAGCAGGCGCGCAAAUUACCCACUCCCAGAUCUGGGAGGUAGUGACGAAAAAUAACGAUACGGGACUCUUUCGAGGCCCCGUAAUCGGAAUGAGUACACUUUAAAUCCUUUAACGAGGAACAAUUGGAGGGCAAGUCUGGUGCCAGCAGCCGCGGUAAUUCCAGCUCCAAUAGCGUAUAUUAAAGUUGUUGCAGUUAAAAAGCUCGUAGUUGGAUCUUAGGUUAAGAAUGAAAGGUCCGCCUUUUGGUGCGACUUUUUGUUCAACCUACACCGUCGUGGAUACCUUGAGUGCUCUUUACUGAGUGCCCUUGGUGCCCGGCAAUGUUACUUUGAAAAAAUUAGAGUGCUUAAAGCAGGCUUUUGCCUGAAUAAUGUUGCAUGGAAUAAUGGAAUAGGACUUCGGUUCUAUUUUGUUGGUUUUCGGAAUUGAAGUAAUGAUUAACAGAGACUGCCGGGGGCAUUUGUAUGGCGGGGUUAGAGGUGAAAUUCUUGGAUCCUCGCCAGACAACCUACUGCGAAAGCAUUUGCCAAGAAUGUUUUCACUAAUCAAGAACGAAAGUCAGAGGUUCGAAGACGAUCAGAUACCGUCCUAGUUCUGACCAUAAACAAUGCCAACUAACGAUCCGAGGCGGUUGCUUGAUCGACCACUCGGGCAGCCCCGGAGAAAUCAAAGUUUUUGGGCUCCGGGGGUAGUAUGGUUGCAAGACUGAAACUUAAAGGAAUUGACGGAAGGGCACCACCAGGAGUGGAGCCUGCGGCUUAAUUUGACUCAACACGGGAAAACUCACCCGGCCCGGACACUGUAAGGAUUGACAGAUUAAUAGCUCUUUCUAGAUUUUGUGGGUGGUGGUGCAUGGCCGUUCUUAGUUGGUGGAGUGAUUUGUCUGGCUUAUCCCGAUAACGAGCGAGACGGUCGUUUACUAAGUAGACGGCUGUGCUUGCCACAGCCGACCUUCUUAGAGAGAUCUAUGCCUUUUAGACAUAUGACAGAUAGCAAUAACAGGUCUGUGAUGCCCUUAGAUGUCCGGGGCCGCACGCGCGCUACACUGACUGUCUCAACAAGUAUGUUCCUGGCCCGUUAGGGUUGGGCAACCUAUUUAAAGACAGACGUGACAGGGAUUGAAAUUUGUAAUUAUCUUUCAUGAACGAGGAAUUCCCAGUAAGCGCAAGUCAUAAGCUUGCGUUGAUUACGUCCCUGCCCUUUGUACACACCGCCCGUCGCUACUACUGAUGAACGGAUUAGU
RNAcentral lists this ribosomal RNA (1507 nucleotides) under Pseudorthoplana foliacea. RNAcentral's name for it is "SSU rRNA". It matches the Rfam family "Eukaryotic small subunit ribosomal RNA", at positions 168 to 1702 of the family's 1831-position model. The record is from RNAcentral. Lineage: Eukaryota; Metazoa; Platyhelminthes; Proseriata; Otoplanidae.